GUUCUGUUGGUGUAGCGGUCAGCACAGGAGACUCUGACUCUCCAGACGGCAGUUCGAAUCUGUCACGGAACU
The sequence is a transfer RNA, 72 nucleotides long. It matches the Rfam family "tRNA". Rfam says of the family: Transfer RNA (tRNA) molecules are approximately 80 nucleotides in length. Their secondary structure includes four short double-helical elements and three loops (D, anti-codon, and T loops). Further hydrogen bonds mediate the characteristic L-shaped molecular structure. tRNAs have two regions of fundamental functional importance: the anti-codon, which is responsible for specific mRNA codon recognition, and the 3' end, to which the tRNAs corresponding amino acid is attached (by aminoacyl-tRNA synthetases). tRNAs cope with the degeneracy of the genetic code in two manners: having more than one tRNA (with a specific anti-codon) for a particular amino acid; and 'wobble' base-pairing, i.e. permitting non-standard base-pairing at the 3rd anti-codon position.